This 154-nucleotide ribosomal RNA is filed under the name Vibrio sp. Its description in RNAcentral is "partial 16S ribosomal RNA". It matches the Rfam family "Bacterial small subunit ribosomal RNA", at positions 378 to 524 of the family's 1533-position model. Lineage: Bacteria; Pseudomonadati; Pseudomonadota; Gammaproteobacteria; Vibrionales; Vibrionaceae. The record is from RNAcentral.
GCAGCCUGAUGCAGCCAUGCCGCGUGUAUGAAGAAGGCCUUCGGGUUGUAAAGUACUUUCAGCAGUGAGGAAGGUUCAUACGUUAAUAGCGGAUGGAUUUGACGUUAGCUGCAGAAGAAGCACCGGCUAACUCCGUGCCAGCAGCCGCGGUAAU